AUGCGCUUUCGGGUAAUCGUUCCGGCCACUUCCGCAAGGCAGCAGCCGGAAAGGAAAGUCCGAACACCAGCGAACACCGUGCCGCAGGAAACUGCGGGAGAUAUCGGGCAAACCGGUAUCGCCAGAUAGUGCCACAGAAAACAAACCGCUCCGGCACGCCGGGGUAAGGGUGAAAAGGAGGGGUAAGAGCCCACCGCUUCGACGGUAACGGACGAAGGCAAGGUAAACCUCACGGGGUGCAAGUUCACGCAGGCUGUUUGCCGUUCGCCAAUAUACAGCCGGGUAGAACGCAUGCAUGCAGGAUGGUUGGGUUGAUGAGUUCGCUCACUGGCCGGCCCCCUGCAUCCAGAUCAAUGAUUACCACCCGUGGCCUAGCGCCGGGGGUACAGAAUUCGGCUUACAGAAAGCGCAUCUGU
This 416-nucleotide RNase P RNA is filed under the name Bacteroidota bacterium. Its description in RNAcentral is "Bacteroidetes bacterium RNase P RNA component class A". It matches the Rfam family "Bacterial RNase P class A". From Rfam's summary of the family: Ribonuclease P (RNase P) is a ubiquitous endoribonuclease, found in archaea, bacteria and eukarya as well as chloroplasts and mitochondria. Lineage: Bacteria; Pseudomonadati; Bacteroidota. The record is from RNAcentral.